This 68-nucleotide transfer RNA is filed under the name Hampala macrolepidota (Hampala barb). Its description in RNAcentral is "tRNA-Ser". Lineage: Eukaryota; Metazoa; Chordata; Actinopteri; Cypriniformes; Cyprinidae. The record is from RNAcentral.
GAGGAAGUACAGAAAAUAGUAAGCACUGCUAAUUCUUACGCCCGCGGUUAAAAUCCGCGGCUUCCCCA